RNAcentral lists this ribosomal RNA (253 nucleotides) under uncultured bacterium. RNAcentral describes it as "partial 16S ribosomal RNA". It matches the Rfam family "Bacterial small subunit ribosomal RNA", at positions 524 to 776 of the family's 1533-position model. The record is from RNAcentral.
UACAGGGGGGGCAAGCGUUGUUCGGAAUUACUGGGCGUAAAGGGCUCGUAGGUGGCCAACUCAGUCAGACGUGAAAUCCCUCAGCUUAACUGGGGAACUGCGUCUGAUACUGGAUGGCUUGAGUUUGGGAGAGGGAUGCGGAAUUCCAGGUGUAGCGGUGAAAUGCGUAGAUAUCUGGAGGAACACCGGUGGCGAAGGCGGCAUCCUGGACCAACACUGACACUGAGGAGCGAAAGCCAGGGGAGCAAACGGG